Molecule: ribosomal RNA, 587 nt
Filed under: Papiliotrema flavescens
Lineage: Eukaryota; Fungi; Basidiomycota; Tremellomycetes; Tremellales; Rhynchogastremaceae
Description: partial 26S ribosomal RNA
Rfam family: Eukaryotic large subunit ribosomal RNA
Source: RNAcentral
UAACAAGGAUUCCCCUAGUAACGGCGAGUGAACCGGGAAGAGCUCAAAUUUGAAAUCUGGCGUGCUCAGUGCGUCCGAGUUGUAAUCUAUAGAGUCGUUUUCCGUGCCGGACUGUGUCCAAGUCCCUUGGAACAGGGUAUCAAAGAGGGUGAUAAUCCCGUACUUGACACAAUGACCGGUGCUCUGUGAUACGUCUUCUACGAGUCGAGUUGUUUGGGAAUGCAGCUCAAAAUGGGUGGUGAGUUCCAUCUAAAGCUAAAUAUUGGCGAGAGACCGAUAGCGAACAAGUACCGUGAGGGAAAGAUGAAAAGCACUUUGGAAAGAGAGUUAAACAGUACGUGAAAUUGUUAAAAGGGAAACGAUUGAAGUCAGUCGUGACUGAGAGGCUCAGCCGGUUCUGCCGGUGUAUUCCCCUCAGUCGGGUCAACAUCAGUUUUGUUCGGUGGAUAAGGGCAGUUGGAAGGUGGCACCCUCGGGUGUGUUAUAGCCAGCUGUCGCAUACAUCGGAUGAGACUGAGGAAUGCAGCUCGCCUUUAUGGCCGGGGUUCGCCCACGUUCGAGCUUAGGAUGUUGACAUAAUGGCUUUA